CUCGCACCAAGACAUUCGCAGCAGAUGCUUUAAAUCCUGCAAGUUGCUUGGUGGGGAUCCAUGGAUCAGAUUUGUUGUUCCAACACAUCACACAGAUGCUCAGUCGCAUUGAGAUCUAGGGAAAUUGGAGGCCAAAGCAACACCUCUUUGUCAUUUUCCUCAAACUCAAAUUAGAAAGUUAUCUAUUAAAUAGCUGAAAGAUCAAAAUUAAG
Molecule: non-coding RNA, 212 nt
Organism: Pelobates cultripes (western spadefoot toad)
Lineage: Eukaryota; Metazoa; Chordata; Amphibia; Anura; Pelobatidae
Source: the annotation of a GenBank genome assembly